AGUGGAUGGGGAGCAACCUAUGUUGUGCGUGUGUAAAGGUAGUGCCAAGAAAAGCGAUGAUCAUGUUGAAAAUCAAUUCCCGGUACCCGAAACCGACACAGGUGGGCAAGUAGAGAAUACUAAGGGGCGCGAGGUAACUCUCUCCAAGGAACUCGGCAAAAUGACCCCGUAACUUAGGGAGAAGGGGUGCCACCGAGAGGUGGUCGCAGUGAAGAGGCCCAGGCGACUGUUUAGCAAAAACAUAGGUCUCUGCAAACUCGAAAGAGGAGGUAUAGGGGCUGACGCCUGCCCAGUGCCGGAAGGUUAAAGAAGUUGGUCAGUUUUAGGAUGAAGCUAGCGACUGAAGCCCCGGUGAACGGCGGCCGUAACUAUAACGGUCCUAAGGUAGCGAAAUUCCUUGUCGGGUAAGUUCCGACCCGCACGAAAGGCGUAACGAUCUGGGCGCUGUCUCGGAGAGAGGCUCGGCGAAAUAGGAUUGUCUGUGAAGAUACGGACUACCUGCAUUUGGACAGAAAGACCCUAUGAAGCUUUACUAUAGCUUGGAAUUGUGUUCGGGCUUCCUGUGCGCAGGAUAGGUGGGAGGCGUAGAAGGUAUUCUUGUGGGGAUACUGGAGCCAACGGUGAGAUACCACUCUCAGGAGGCUAGAAUUCUAACUUAAUUAAGGACAGUUUCAGGUGGGUAGUUUGACUGGGGCGGUCGCCUCCAAAAAGGUAACGGAGGCGUACAAAGGUUCCCUCAGACUGGUUGGAAAUCAGUCGAAGAGUGCAAAGGCAGAAGGGAGCUUGACUGCGAGAAGUACAGUUCGAGCAGGGUGGAAACACGGUCUUAGUGAUCCGACGGUGCUGUGUGGAAGGGCCGUCGCUCAACGGAUAAAAGUUACUCUAGGAUAACAGGCUGAUCUCCCCCAAGAGUUCACAUCGACGGGGAGGUUUGGCACCUCGAUGUCGGCUCAUCGCAACCUGGGGCGGAAGUACGUCCCAAGGGUUGGGCUGUUCGCCCAUUAAAGCGGUACGUGAGCUGGGUUCAGAACGUCGUGAGACAGUUCGGUCCAUAUCCGAUGUAGGCGUGAGAAUAUUGAGAGGAGCCUUCCUUAGUACGAGAGGACCGGGAAGGACGCACCGCUGGUGUACCUGUUAUGAUGCCAAUUGUAAACGCAGGGUAGCCAAGUGCGGAGAGGAUAACCGCUGAAAGCAUCUAAGUGGGAAGCCCACCUCAAGAUGAGUAUUCUGGUGUAAGGUCACGGGAAGACGACCCGUAAAUAGGCACGAGGUGGAAGUGCAGAGAUGUAUGAAGCCGAAGUGUACUAGUAGACCGUCGGCUUGACC
This 1326-nucleotide ribosomal RNA is filed under the name metagenome. RNAcentral describes it as "bacterial LSU rRNA". It matches the Rfam family "Bacterial large subunit ribosomal RNA", at positions 1561 to 2925 of the family's 2925-position model. The record is from RNAcentral.